GCGAGGAGCGCGUGCGCGUGCGCGUGCGUGUGUGCGUGCGCGCUCCCGCCCCUGCACGCGCUCUGGCUUCUUCAGGGAGCACACACGUGUGCCCGGCCUGUUGCCCGGACGGCACCUGCCUGGUGAUUGGUCUUCAUAGUUACAUUUUGCGGAAGGAAUCCCAGAAUCUGCUGUCCGGGGGCUGAGGGCCGCCACCCUGUUCUGUGCUAGGAGGGCUAUUGGAACACACAAGGACCCCGAGUGACUUGGCGGCCAGCGCAGAGUGACGUGGCAGCACCGCCUGCACGGCUGCCGUGCGGGGAGGCCCACGGCCAUCGGAGAUGGGCUGGUUGAUGACAAGGAAAACAGGCUUCCGGAGAACAUCUUGGGAUCGGGAGGACCGGAGCAGCCUGGCCGGAGACCACGUGCUGGGCCACAGCAGAGGACCGUCUGUCCAGGGCGGAGCCUGGACC
Suricata suricatta (meerkat) is the source of this 452-nucleotide long non-coding RNA. RefSeq lists it as uncharacterized. The transcript is spliced from 4 exons. Lineage: Eukaryota; Metazoa; Chordata; Mammalia; Carnivora; Herpestidae. The record is from RefSeq and is a predicted model, not a curated record.